Molecule: ribosomal RNA, 800 nt
Filed under: Torula sp.
Lineage: Eukaryota; Fungi; Ascomycota; Dothideomycetes; Pleosporales; Torulaceae
Description: partial large subunit ribosomal RNA
Rfam family: Eukaryotic large subunit ribosomal RNA
Source: RNAcentral
GAGUGAAGCGGCAACAGCUCAAAUUUGAAAUCUGGCUCCUUUGGGGUCCGAGUUGUAAUUUGCAGAGGGAGCUUUUGGCGUCGGUCGUGGUCUAAGUUCCUUGGAACAGGACGUCACAGAGGGUGAGAAUCCCGUACGUGGCCGCCGGCCUUCGCCUUGUAAAGCCCCUUCGACGAGUCGAGUUGUUUGGGAAUGCAGCUCUAAAUGGGAGGUAAAUUUCUUCUAAAGCUAAAUACCCGCCAGAGACCGAUAGCGCACAAGUAGAGUGAUCGAAAGAUGAAAAGCACUUUGGAAAGAGAGUGAAAAAGCACGUGAAAUUGUUGAAAGGGAAGCGCUUGCGGCCAGACGUGCCCGCGGUUGAUCAUCCAGGCUCCAGCCUGGUGCACUCCUCCGCGGGCAGGCCAGCAUCAGUUCGGGCGGUCGGAUAAAGGCCUCUAUCACGUACCACCCCUCGGGGUGGCCUUAUAGGGGAGGCGCAACACGGCCAGCCCGGACUGAGGUUCCGCGCAUCUGCUAGGAUGCUGGCGUAAUGGCAGCAAGCGGCCCGUCUUGAAACACGGACCAAGGAGUCUAACAUCUAUGCGAGUGUUUGGGUGUCAAGCCCGAGCGCGCAAUGAAAGUGAACGGAGGUGGGAACCCUUACCGGUGCACCAUCGACCGAUCCUGAUGUCUUCGGAUGGAUUUGAGUAAGAGCAUAGCUGUUGGGACCCGAAAGAUGGUGAACUAUGCCUGAAUAGGGUGAAGCCAGAGGAAACUCUGGUGGAGGCUCGCAGCGGUUCUGACGUGCAAAUCGAUCGUCA